Non-coding RNA from Physcomitrium patens, 2364 nucleotides. The record is from RefSeq and is a predicted model, not a curated record. Lineage: Eukaryota; Viridiplantae; Streptophyta; Bryopsida; Funariales; Funariaceae.
GCAGCUGCAAUGUAGAUGAUCGGUUCGUGUCUUUAUCGAUGCUUCUUUUUUCUGAAAAAAGGUUUCACUGGAGUCAGCCGCCAGGCCUUACGCCAUCACCUCGCGCUGAUAAUAACCACCACCCGGGACCGAUUCACAUCGACACUCAUAUCCCUCCGUGUGUGGGUGUACCCCGAUAUUUCUUUCUUUUUGCUUCAAAAUCCUUCACGGUUGUCUUCAUGAAGCGGCCCGGUCUGUCGAGGUUUUCAUAUCUGUUGUAUGCAUGCAAGUCCCCCCCCCCUCCGAAUAAGCUACAGCUUUUCAGUGAAGACAGGAGCUGGUCUUUUUAGCUGAACUGUGUUUUCAGGACAUGAAGCUCUGCUGUACGUAACGCUUUCGUCCUCAGUGCUAGUCACCCUAGAAUCACACAAAUCCGCUUCAGGUCACAGCGAUGGCGUUCCGCGCUAGAAAGUUCUUCCUUCCGUUCCUCUUGCUGCACUUGUUGGUGUGGCCGGUUCGUCCAGUGCAUCCGGCGCACACCAUUAGUGGGCCUGUCAAGACAAUCGUAGUUCUAGUGAUGGAGAAUCGGUCGUUCGAUCAUAUGCUUGGGUACUUGAAUCGGCGGAACCCUAACAUUGACGGGCUGAGUGGAGCGGAGUUCAAUGUCCUGAAUGAUGGCCAGACAGGGCGACGCACGCUGUACGUGUCCGACACGGCGGAGUUUGUGGAUCCAGACCCUGGACAUUCGUACCAAGCAAUCGAGGAGCAAGUCUUUGGUCCCGAGAGGAAAUUCGCUGACCCUCCGCCGAUGUCUGGGUUUGCCACAAAUGCUGAGUCAAAGCUCCCUGGAAUGUCGAAGAAUGUGAUGCGAGCGUUUCGUCCAGAGGUGGUGCCCGUGACCACCGCCCUGGCCAUGGAGUUUGCGGUUUUCGAUCGGUGGUUUGCCUCGGUCCCGUCUUCGACGCAACCCAACCGGUUGUUCGUGCAUUCUGCGACCUCCCACGGUCUGAUUAGCAACAACGAGGACAUUCUCUCAGCGGGACUUCCUCAGCGCACCAUCAUGGAAGACAUAGCUGACGCGGGCCUCACUUUCGGUGUUUACUACCAAAACCUCCCGACGCUGCUCUUCUAUAACAACAUGCGCCUGGCGAAAUUCUCGGCAAAUUUCAUCGACUAUGAGCCUCACUUCAAGGCUGAUGCCGCCGCGGGGAAGUUGCCAAACUAUGUAGUGAUUGAGCAGCGGUACUUCGACGUGGGGAACAGUCCUGCCAACGAUGACCAUCCUUCGCAUGACGUCUCUCAAGGGCAAAUGCUGCUCAAGGAAGUUUAUGAGACGCUUCGAGCAAGUCCUCAGUGGGAAGAGAUGCUGCUUGUGAUUACUUAUGACGAGCAUGGCGGGUUUUACGACCAUGUGCCGACGCCUGUGACGGGAGUUCCGAGCCCUGAUGGAAUCGAGGGCGUGGCAGGGAUAUACAACUUCACUUUCGAUCGAUUGGGAGUCCGAGUCCCGACGAUUGCCAUCUCGCCAUGGAUCCAGAAAGGCUUCGUGGAGCACAAAGCAAAAGGACCCACGGCGCCCUUCUCUCAGUACGAGCACUCGUCGAUUCCUGCAACUGUUAGAAAGCUGUUCAAUUUACCUUCCUCCCACUUGACGGCACGAGAGGCGUGGGCUGGCACUUUCGAGCAUUUAGUGACGCAGCAAACAAUGCCAAGGAAGGAUACUCCCGCAACGCUAGCAAGUCCACCAUACUCGUUACGCCACACAGCAGUGAACGAAGCAGCUCCCCUCACAGAAUUUCAAUCCGAGCUUGUUCUCUUAGCUGCAUCCCUAAACGGAGGUCAGAUGAUGAAAGCUGCCGGUGAGCGAAUGACGGUGGCUGAAGCCAACUUCUUCGUCAAAUCAUCUGUUGCUCGGUUUUUGAAUGCGGGGCGGGCUCAUUUGAGAGCUGGUGGCGACCCAAAUGCGGUGAUAAACGUGCAAGGUCUUGAGUACGAGCUCAUGCAUGGUUGAGUGAGCAUGAUUUCGGUAAUCAACCUGGAGUUUUUGGGAAGAGGUUUCUAUGAACAAUGCCGAACUUUGCAAUGCAUUGUUCAUUGAAACCUUCGUAAGCACAAUGGGACGCAACUUGUAUGUGGUGUUGAUAGCAACCAUGGAUUGUCUCCCUUUUGUCGUGUAGGAUCUUGCCAAUGAAAGACCUCAGCGACACUCUGGAUCCUGAAAACCUUUUCGGAUGGAGGAGACAUUAAGGACUCGAUUCUUUCUUAGAGUUGGGUGUCCGCCAACAACUCACACUAUGGUGUUGGUUUGGGCAUGGGAGGUCUGUGCAAAAACAAGCUUAUGAAUUUUCAUCACCUAAUAAAAAUAAAAAUAAAAAUUGUCUUGUA